GAUGAACGCUGGCGGCGUGCCUAAUACAUGCAAGUCGAGCGAGCAGGUGGGGAGCUGGCUCCUCUGACGUUGGCGGCGGACGGGUGAGUAACACGUGUAUAACCUACCUAUAAGACUGGGAUAACUUCGGGAAACCGGAGCUAAUACCGGAUAAUAUAUUGAACCGCAUGGUUCCAUAGUGAAAGACGGUUUUGCUGUCACUUAUAGAUGGAUCCGCGCCGCAUUAGCUAGUAGGUAAGGUGACGGCUUACCCAGGCUACGAGGCGUAGCCGACCUGAGCGGGACAUCGCCCACACUGGAAGUGAGGAACAGUAGCGACACCGACGGGGGGACGCAGCCGGGACUCCUACGCGAAGGAGGAGAGCCUGAUGGUGCACAGUCGCGUGAGUGAUGAUGGUGUCAUGACGGUAAAACUAUGAUAGUAGGGGAGAACUAAUGUGUAAUCAACUAUGAACGUCAUGACGGUACCAAAUCAGAAAGCCCCGGCUAACUACGUG
This 497-nucleotide ribosomal RNA is filed under the name uncultured bacterium. RNAcentral describes it as "partial 16S ribosomal RNA". It matches the Rfam family "Bacterial small subunit ribosomal RNA", at positions 28 to 507 of the family's 1533-position model. The record is from RNAcentral.